This 427-nucleotide ribosomal RNA is filed under the name uncultured bacterium. RNAcentral's name for it is "bacterial SSU rRNA". It matches the Rfam family "Bacterial small subunit ribosomal RNA", at positions 34 to 507 of the family's 1533-position model. The record is from RNAcentral.
CGCUGGCGGCAUGCCUAACACAUGCAAGUCGAACGAAGCCUUCGGGCCUAGUGGCGCACGGGUGCGUAACGCGUGGGAAUCUGCCCCUCGGUUCGGAAUAACAGUUAGAAAUGACUGCUAAUACCGGAUGAUGACGAAAGUCCAAAGAUUUAUCGCCGAGGGAUGAGCCCGGCGUAGGAUUAGCUUGUUGGUGGGUGAUGGCCCACCAAGGCGACGAUCCUUAGCUGGUCUGAGAGGAUGAUCAGCCACACUGGGACUGAGACACGGCCCAGACUCCUACGGGAGGCAGCAGUGGGGAAUAUUGGACAAUGGGCGAAAGCCUGAUCCAGCAAUGCCGCGUGAGUGAUGAAGGCCUUAGGGUUGUAAAGCUCUUUUACCAGGGAUGAUAAUGACAGUACCUGGAGAAUAAGCUCCGGCUAACUCCGUG